GAUGAACGCUAGCGGGAGGCUUAACACAUGCAAGUCGAGGGGUAAAAGGUAGCAAUACUUUGAGACCGGCGGACGGGUGCGUAACGCGUAUGCAACUUACCUUGUGCAGGGAGAUAGCCCGGGGAAACCCGGAUUAAUAUUCCAUAAAUCAUAUUGGCUGCAUGGUUGAUAUGUAAAAGUUAAGGCGGCACAAGAUAGGCAUGCGUCUGAUUAGCUGGUUGGUAGGGUAACGGCCUACCAAGGCGACGAUCAGUAGGGGUUCUGAGAGGAUUAACCCCCACACUGGUACUGAGACACGGACCAGACUCCUACGGGAGGCAGCAGUGAGGAAUAUUGGUCAAUGGGCGACAGCCUGAACCAGCCAUUCCGCGUGAAGGAAGAAGGCCCUACGGGUUGUAAACUUCUUUUCUGUAAGAAGAAAAACUUACGAGUUGAGGUAUGACGGUAUUACAGGAAUAAGCAUCGGCUAACUCCGUG
This 477-nucleotide ribosomal RNA is filed under the name uncultured bacterium. RNAcentral's name for it is "bacterial SSU rRNA". It matches the Rfam family "Bacterial small subunit ribosomal RNA", at positions 28 to 507 of the family's 1533-position model. The record is from RNAcentral.